AGCGAACGCUGGCGGCAGGCUCAACACAUGCAAGUCGAACGCCCCGCAAGGGGAGUGGCAGACGGGUGAGUAACACGUGGGAACGUACCCUUUGGUUCGGAAUAACUUGGGGAAACUCAAGCUAAUACCGGAUAAGCCCUUAUGGGGAAAGGUUUACUGCCGAAGGAUCGGCCCGCGUCUGAUUAGCUAGUUGGUGAGGUAAUGGCUCACCAAGGCGACGAUCAGUAGCUGGUCUGAGAGGAUGAUCAGCCACACUGGGACUGAGACACGGCCCAGACGCCGACGGGAGGCAGCAGUGGGGAAUAUUGGACAAUGGGGGCAACCUUGAUCCAGCCAUGCCGCGUGAGUGAUGAAGGCCUUAGGGUUGUAAAGCUCUUUUACCCGGGACGAUAAUGACUGUACCGGGAGAAUAAGCCCCGGCUAACUUCGUGCCAGCCGCCGCAGUAA
Molecule: ribosomal RNA, 447 nt
Filed under: uncultured bacterium
Lineage: Bacteria
Description: partial 16S ribosomal RNA
Rfam family: Bacterial small subunit ribosomal RNA
Source: RNAcentral